AGAGCACAUAUGUCAGAGUCAAGGCCCGCGGGCCACAUCCGGCCCGCGAGAAGGUUUUUUACGGCCCCUGGGAUGAUCUUGGUUUAUUAUUAGAACUGGCCCGCAGACCGCAGCAAGCCGGCAGCCCACAGAUCUUUUAGACGCAUUAAUACUACAUUUCCCACAAUGCAACGGUGACGCACCGAGCAGUAGGCUGCUUCAUUUCAAUAUUUAUUAGCACAGCAGUCGUCAGCAUAACAGUUAAAUUAACUUUCAGAUACCCAUCAAAAAUGGCAAAAUGGAAGGUGGACACUGAGAACCGGGGGUUUCAAACAAGGUGGGAGUCGGAGUAUAUGUUCACGGAGGUAGCUGGAAAACCUGUGUGUCUUCUGUGUGGAGAAAGUGUGGCGGUACUGAAAGAGUAUAAUCUGAGACGACAUUAUGAAACGAAACACAUUUUUAUUGUAUUUCAAUCCAAUUAUAUUUUUAAAAUAUUUCAGUUGAAUGGAUGAUAGAAAAUUGCUAUUAUUAUUUUUUUCUUUGAAGUAAAUUUAGCCCACUUUUGCUAAAACAGAAAAUAUAGGCUACUGAUGGUGCCUUGAAUAAUACCGGUUUCUUUCAUUUAAUGUUCAUGUUAUGGGGAUUUUUAUAUAAAGGAAAUUUGUCUUUUGUGUCUGUUGAAAAUUAAAGAUUACUGACAGAGCCAUAAGAAAAUAUUGCUUUAUUUAUCUGAUCAUAUUGGAAUAUAUUUGUUAGGUUUUCAGUAGGUUCAGUUAGGUUCACUAGACUAUAUGCGUCAUUUAAAAAAUUUUCAAUGAACAUUCUAUCAGUCCGGCCCUCGGCUUGUAGCUAAAUUUUUUAUUUGGCCCUCCGUCCAUUUGACUUUGACACCCC
Molecule: non-coding RNA, 873 nt
Organism: Xyrichtys novacula (pearly razorfish)
Lineage: Eukaryota; Metazoa; Chordata; Actinopteri; Labriformes; Labridae
Source: the annotation of a GenBank genome assembly